Molecule: ribosomal RNA, 274 nt
Filed under: uncultured bacterium
Lineage: Bacteria
Description: partial 16S ribosomal RNA
Rfam family: Bacterial small subunit ribosomal RNA
Source: RNAcentral
AUACGAAGGGGGCUAGCGUUGUUCGGAAUUACUGGGCGUAAAGCGCGCGUAGGCGGACUGAUCAGUUGGGGGUGAAAUCCCAGGGCUUAACCCUGGAACUGCCUCCAAUACUGUCAGUCUUGAGUUCGGGAGAGGUGAGUGGAAUUCCUAGUGUAGAGGUGAAAUUCGUAGAUAUUAGGAAGAACACCAGUGGCGAAGGCGGCUCACUGGCCCGAUACUGACGCUGAGGCGCGAAAGCGUGGGGAGCAAACAGGGUUAGAAACCCCAGUAGUCC